Long non-coding RNA from Equus quagga, 373 nucleotides. RefSeq lists it as uncharacterized. Lineage: Eukaryota; Metazoa; Chordata; Mammalia; Perissodactyla; Equidae. The record is from RefSeq and is a predicted model, not a curated record. The transcript has 3 exons.
CAAACAGGAGCCUCCCUCUUCUCAGCCUCGCGCAAAGGAAGCGUCCGGACUCCCCGCAGCGCCCUCGUUUCUGGCACUGAGCCAGGAGGAUGUGCACCAUAUAUGACGCAGUGGACGUGAUGAUGCGCUAUCAGAUCCCCUCCUGCUCAUCGGGAAGCCUUCCGCUAUCUGUCGCUUCAGGGCUAUUCUCAGCUGCACAAAGCCAUCUUGCCCAAAGUCAUCCCCUUCCUGGGAGAGCUCAGAAUCUGAUACCAAGAGUUCCUCAUAACAAACAUCCUCAUCUGUAAACUCCAUGUCAGAGUGUGCUUCCCAGAGAACCCAACCUGUGAUUUACAACUAGAAUGGAAGAUUCUCGAGAGCAGGCAUGUUUGUC